AUGUUGUCGGUAAUUUGGGCUGAGCCUAAACAUGGCCACACAUAGGGGUCGCAAAUAUUGACUUUGAGACAUUUCAACAAAACAUCUUGGCCUCUAUCACGCAUAAUUAGGUUGCUGACUACCCAAAACGCAUCCAUGGUUAUAAAUCCAAACCUGGACUAAACCGGUGGAAACCACCCUCUCCACCCUCUCCACCCUCUGGUUUUCAAUAUCUCAAAUCCAGAACAACAGAAAAACCAGAGAACCCAGCGGAUUUAGAAAAAACCAGUGCCACAAAUCUGGGAGCUAAAAAAACCUGCCAAUUCAAUCUCAGUUUCCCAAAAGGCCACUGCCCCACAAACCUUCCAGAAAUGUUUUGUCCACCCAACUCGCUGGUUCUUCUCCGUAUUUAUAAACUAACAUACAGACAUCUGCUUUACCCAGAAGAAAAAAAACACCAUUUCUUUACUGCUCUCUGAUUUUGAGCAAAGAAAAGAGAGAGAGAGAGAGAGAGAGAGAGAGAGAGAGAGAGAGAAACAAAGCAAAUGGGUGGUGAAAUAUGCAAGUUUGAGAAGGAAUUGAAGUCCAUGAUGCAGCAGAAGAUGAAUGCUGCAGAGCCAUCAGCUGCUGCUGCUGGUGGUGGCAAUGGGGCCAAAACCAGGUGGAGCAAUACUGGUGCUGCUGGGGGUGUGAGCCAGGAAAAUAGGAUGACCCUUGAUGAUGAGAGAAGAAGAAGAGACAAGGCUGAAAAUUUGAUUCAGCUAAUCUGCUGGGGACCCAAUUGAGGAAACUAUUUCUUCUCUCUGUUUUGUUGAUCAGGGGAUAAUUAUGUGUAGGAAAGAAACUAUCUUUCUUUUCCUGUUAUGUUUUUUUCUUUCUGGUGAUAGAAUUUGUAGAAAAGAUAGCAUUACUAGUAACAGUAUACAAUAUAUACAACAAGAACUAUUCGUUUA
Long non-coding RNA from Prunus dulcis (almond), 932 nucleotides. RefSeq lists it as uncharacterized. Lineage: Eukaryota; Viridiplantae; Streptophyta; Magnoliopsida; Rosales; Rosaceae. The transcript is spliced from 2 exons. The record is from RefSeq and is a predicted model, not a curated record.